CCCUGAAAAAGAGAUCCAUUUUGAAUUAGGUUUCGUCGUCGUCUUCCUCUUGCACCUGUGAUUUGGACUGAUGAGAUUCCACAUACUCCAAGCGUUGUUCCGAUCCCCGUGACGUCUCAACCUACCAUUAAUUUGUUCUUUACUCCGAGUUUUCGUGAUUACUCCACUCUGCCCACUUGCAUCAUUCAAUCUACCUCUUCAUUUCCCAUUGUAAUCGGGUGAAGCUUCAGCUAUAAAUAUCGGUCCUUUUCUGUGAUGAGCAGUACAACUCAAACUAGAUCCAGAAGCAUUCUUUUUCCUUGCAACCAAUUUCGAUGGUGUCUAUGUACGCUCUCCUUGCCAAUCUGAGAGGCGGACGAUGCUCUAACGUUAUGAAAACAUCUUCAACUAUCAUUACUGAAAUUGUCGAUCUCUGUCACAUCUAUGGAGCAAAGACAGCGGAGGUGACAAACGCAGGGCUUGGAGCAGCAGAGCAUGCCCUUGGAACGGCAUGAACAGUUAUCAAGAUCAGGCAAGCUCUUAACCCAAAGAGUGCACUAAAGCCAUCAUCGCUGGCUAAAACCGCAACUAAAACGACUUCUAAAGAAAAGAAGAAGGGGAAAGAAACAAAACAUAAAACCAUUUUAAGCAUGGAAAGGAAUCUCUGUCUCUAUUACAAAAACUCACACAAAUGAAUAAAACGUCUCUUAUGUGUUUUUUUUUGUUUGGUCGCAUAAUUUGCUAGGGAAGUAAUGGUUGAAUACUCAAAGGAAGUGAUGAAAGUAGGUAAAAUGCUCUUUGAACUUAUCUCAUAAGCUCUAGGAUACACACUAAUCACCUCAAGGACAUGGAAUGCACCAAUUUAUUGCUCGCGCUCGGCCAUUACUACCAACCGUGUCUUCAGCCUAACUCUAGGCUUAACCAAACUCUCAGACAACUCUUUUCUCACGGUUCUUCUACAAGACCAUGUCGGAGGGCUUCAAGUUCUCCAUGACCAAUACUGGGUAGAUGUUCCUCCUGUCCUUGGAGCUCUUGUCGUCAACGUUGGAGACUUUCUCUAGGUUAACUAACUAACUAACCUACCUACCAUUUUGUAGCUUGAUCAAUAUUUUUAAUCAUUUUGAGCAUUUGUGCAGCUUAUUACAAACGGCAAGUUCAUAAGCGUGUUUUGGCGAAUGCAGCUGGAGCAUGUAUCUCAGUGGCAUGCUUCUUUAGUUUGUAUUUGAUGGCUAAUCCUAGAAUUUACGUACCUAUCAAAGAGCUUAUGUCUCAACAAAAACCUCCCAUUUAUAGAGACAGACACCACCAUUACAAAGUAUUCGAAGUUCUACAGAUCCAAAGGAUUCGAUGGUACCUCUGGACUAUAUUUCAAGAUCUAAGAAUGCACGUUUAAUUUAUGUUUUAAUAAGGAUACGUGGAGGCUCAUGCACGUUUAUUUUAACUAGGAUGUGUACCUGUAAUAACUUCUUGUCUAAUAAGACUGUGUUAGAGCCAGUAAUAACUUCUUGUCUAA
This is a long non-coding RNA of Brassica oleracea var. oleracea, 1492 nucleotides long. RefSeq lists it as uncharacterized. Lineage: Eukaryota; Viridiplantae; Streptophyta; Magnoliopsida; Brassicales; Brassicaceae. The transcript has 2 exons. The record is from RefSeq and is a predicted model, not a curated record.